AACCCCACUUACCGACUCCCAUCGCACUAAAAUAAGCCAAGGAGGAUGCUAUGUUGACCACAUGAGGAUUUGGAUCUUGUAAAAGGAGAGGAAAUAAUGCAGAUGUAAUUGCCAGCUGUCCGAUCACAUUUGUUUCAAAGCAUCUAAAUUAAGCAGUUAGAAAAUAAGGCUUACUACGCUUAACCUGUACUUACUUUUGUAAUUCUUGUCUUGAUAUAGACAGCAAAUGAUUUUUUGGAGCAAUAGCUGCAGCAUUGAUCAGAGCAAAAGGGGUCCUGUUCAUCUUUUUCAAAGAAUGGACACAUCCUUCUACGUCCUUAUCUUUGGUAAUAUUACAUUUCAAAGCACUAAAUUUAGAAUUGUACUGUAGAAAAGAUGCAGGCUCAGUACUGUCCAAAGAGGCGACGCUGAAGCCUCUAUCCAACGCCUCUUGAAUAAUAGCAUGACCAAGAAUCCCACUUCCUCCUGUUAUCACAAUCAGUCCUUUAGCACAUGAAUAGGAUUGUUUCCUGAAAAGUAGAGGAAACCAAGAAAGGGUUAAGGCAGCACAAACAAGCGAAAUCACCAAUAAUAAUAUAUGAUUCAACAUCAGGGAAUGACUUCUGUGAAAAAUAUGAUAAGUUGCUGAAUGGAAACUUGGCAGAAAGUCGUUAACAUUAGCAGCGAACUCUUUUGUGUUUCGAAUAAGUUAACGUCCAAGUUCUGAUCGUCUAAAGACCCUAAUAUCGUAUUUGACGAAGUCAAGGAGAGAACCUUAGUAGAUGCUGCCAAACAAAAGCUAUUUCCUAGUGUAAGCAAAAAUCACGCGUAGUAGAAUAAUUCAUUAAAUCGUUGAACACUGCUUUUAUAAACUUAUAUAAUAAAGUUUUGAUCAGUAUCGCCAAUGUUGUAUUGAACUUGUUAACUAAAUUAUUCAAUCCGUACUACGAAAAAUGGAAUGCCCAUCCUGAUCUUAACUUGAUUAGUCUUAUAGAGUCAAAGAUAAGUGAUGGUUUUUUUUUUAAAAUAUUACGCCUAUCAUAAAAAGAAGCAUUAAAAAAUGCGAUUAAGAAUUGCGUCUUCAAUUUCCUUAUAUAUUGAAACAUAGUACACACUAUACCUUCCCUUCAUCUUCGACUAGUUGUUUUUAAAAUAUUUGAAAGUUUGAGCGUGCUCAGUUUUCUAUGUUGCAUAUAGAUCAAAG
Schizosaccharomyces pombe (fission yeast) is the source of this 1183-nucleotide non-coding RNA. The record is from the annotation of a GenBank genome assembly. NCBI's taxonomy places the organism in Eukaryota, Fungi, Ascomycota, Schizosaccharomycetes, Schizosaccharomycetales, Schizosaccharomycetaceae.